AUUAGACAAUUGCAAGCAUGGAAGUGUCAACCUUGUGCAUCAGAGUUCCAUGGGUGCUCAAGGCACCCAAGGCAGUGCUUACACUAAGGGGCAGAUCCUAAAGCUCUAAGAACGAGAUUGUGUUUGGAAUUGAAAGAGUUAAAAAUAGUUUAGGCACAGUCUAAAAAAACUGUUGAAAGAGUUGAGAGAGUUAAGAAGAGAGUUGAAAAGUUGAGACAGUUUAAGGAAAAAAAUAGUUGAAAAAGUUGAGACAGUUCUUCUGAAAUCAUUUGGACUGGCCAGCUUUAGAACAGCAGGGCAUCACACAAACAGGGGGCAAAGGGUAAAAGAGACAAAUAAGUAAAGUGAAAUACUCACACACAGACAACAUAUUGGAGGAAAAAUAAUCAGACAUGGUUGCAAACAAGAGUUCAGCUCUUACUGCGCCAAACUCUAACACACUUAGCCUCAAACACCGGUAUUAGGUUAACCAAAUAUCCAACAAGGCAUAGAUGCAUGGUAGUAGCACACAAGGAAAAAGUAAACAUUCAUUGAAACAGAGGGAGGGGGGUAAGAGGGCAAAUAAGUAAAGAGCAAACAAGUAAAGUGUACAGACAACAUGUUGGGGGAAAGUAAUCAAGCAUGGUUGUAAAACAAGGGUUUACUUCAUACUGAACCAAAACCUCAAAUAUAAUCAAGCUCAUGGAGAAGUUUCAGGAGUGCUAAGUAGCAAAACAGUAGUGCACAUGGAAGAGGAAAACAUGCAUCAAGACGAGGAAAUGGGGAUGGGGAAAAAUAUGCUAAGUUAAACUAGUAGACAUGCUAGUGGCAAUAAGAGUAACAAAAACAUAGGUAAAAGCACACAAGAAAUAAUAUUAAUUGCAAAACUAAUAUGAGCAUGUUGUUUUGGAGGCUUUCUCUUAAAUAGGUGACAUACCAGUUGCAGGUAAUAGGAUACAAUAGCAGUGCAAUAGUGCACAAAGGGAGAGCAAAGUAUGCAAAUAAUGAGAGCAGCAGUGUGAGUAACAGCAAUAUGAGAAUAGCAGCAGCAAUAUGAGACUAGCAGCAACAACAGACCCAAUGUAGACAAACAAAUAGAACCCAAUAGUGUAAAGUAAUCAACCCAAGUUAC
Molecule: long non-coding RNA, 1111 nt
Filed under: Nicotiana benthamiana
Lineage: Eukaryota; Viridiplantae; Streptophyta; Magnoliopsida; Solanales; Solanaceae
Description: long non-coding RNA (NBEN_LNC027891)
Source: RNAcentral